AAGUCGUAACAAGGUCUCCGUAGGUGAACCUGCGGAGGGAUCAUUAACGAGUUAGGGUCUCACCGGCCCGACCUCCCAACCCUUUGUCUACCUGACCAUCGUUGCUUCGGCGAGCCCGUCCUCACGGACCGCCGGGGGGCUCUUCGCCCUCUGGCCCGCGCUCGUCGACAGCCAAAUUUUUUAAAAUCUUAACUAAACGUGCCUCAAUCUAAGUACUAUUUGUUAAAUAAAAGCAAAACUUUCAACAACGGAUCUCUUGGUUCUG
This 265-nucleotide unclassified non-coding RNA is filed under the name Exophiala salmonis. Its description in RNAcentral is "partial internal transcribed spacer region". The stretch from base 1 to 46 matches the Rfam family "Eukaryotic small subunit ribosomal RNA", at positions 1786 to 1831 of the family's 1831-position model. Lineage: Eukaryota; Fungi; Ascomycota; Eurotiomycetes; Chaetothyriales; Herpotrichiellaceae. The record is from RNAcentral.